Long non-coding RNA from Rhea pennata, 550 nucleotides. RefSeq lists it as uncharacterized. Lineage: Eukaryota; Metazoa; Chordata; Aves; Rheiformes; Rheidae. The transcript has 5 exons. The record is from RefSeq and is a predicted model, not a curated record.
GGGCUCCGUUGGACUGUGCGCGUGCGGCCGUCGUUACUCGCGUUCCGGGUCUGCGGCGUCCUGGGGGUCCCGAGCAGGGCGGGCGGGGUGAGGCCGCCCGCUGAGGGGAGAUGAAAGCAAUGGAAAUCAGUCGAUGGCCUGAGCAAGCACAUGGUAUCCCAGGAGCAUGAGCUCUGCUGCGUCUGUGCAGUAUCCAUCAGUGGGGAUCUUGCUGGCAGCUCUCAAGCUUGUAGAGGCAGGCAUGUGGUGAAAUUCUGAGCAUGGGAAAGGCUUGUAGGAAACAGUUACAAAGCCCUGACACUCCAGCUGUCCAGCAAUUUCCUACAUGAGCUCUCUGGUGGAGUACUGAAGAGGAGAAUGCCGAGACCCAGUGCAACACAGUGAGCUUUCCAGGGAAAAACUGUAAAUACAGUUCAAGAAAACAAGAAAAACAAGAAAAGAAGCUUCAGGAGGAAACCAUUUGAAGAGUUGUUGGAACCAGCCUGAGACCAGUGGCAUUCUGUACGGAAUAAGACUUCUCCAUAAGAAAUAAACUAUAGAAAAGAUGAAA